CCCCGGCACAGCCGCAGGUGCCCCCGGCCGGCCUCGCGCGGGCCCAGCGGCCGCAGCACCUCGCCGACGGCCCGGGGCCAGGGCUCCCAGGCGCCGGCCCUCAGCUCCAGCUCCCAGCCGGCCUCCGGCCCCCGGGCCCGGGCCCCCGGCCCUCAGCCGCGGCACUUACCGCGCGGGUGCGGCCCGAACGCCACCAGCACGAAGUAGUCCGCGAGCCGCGCCAUGGCGAGGGGCGCGGGGCGGACCCAGGGGCGCGGGCGGGCUCCGCGGCUCGGGGACUCGAGGGCAGCGCGCUCAUGGCCCGGCCCCGGCUCUGGACCGCGCACCCCGGAUACCCCGGGCCCGCUCCGCGGCGGCAGCGGUGGCCAGGACUUCCGCCGCCAUCUUCCCAGCCAGCCGGCCCGCCCGGCCACGCCGUGCGCCUGCGCACCCUCGGCCCGCCCCCCCCAGUGGGCGGGGCGCGAGACAACAAACGCCAUUGGUCGACCAUUCGUGGGGGCGGAUCCCGGAAGCGAUGGCCCGCCCAUCGUCUCCCGCCCCGGGGCCUCGGUGCAGACCCUCCGACCGGUCAGCGGCCCUGGUUGAGCCCCCCGUUGGGAGGCGCUUCAGGCUGAGGGAAGGCGGGAGGGACGUGGGCCCGGCCGGAGGACGGAGGAGGCCGAGGCCGUCACCUCAGGGGGGCACCCAAGCCCCACCUUUGGGGGCUCUGGGUUCGAGAAAGGCUGGGCCUGCCCUUGGGGGUCCCCGCGGAGGCGAGGGAGAUCCAAACACCCGGCCCAGGGACACCCGCCGCCCCCAAGUGCUGGGGCUGGUCAGGCCCUCCCCAGCAGCGGCCCAGCGAUGGUCAAGGGAGACAUGGCCCUCAAGGGCAGGGUGCCUGCAAGGAGCUGGCUCUGCGGAAGCUGAUGGCAGCCAUGUCCCAUCUGCCCCAGGAGUGGCCAGAGAGAAUGAGAGACAGAGAGAGGUCGUCCAUCCACUGUUCCAUCCACUGAUCCACUCUCCAGAUGGCUGCAACAGCCAGAGCCGAGCUGAUCCGAAGCUGGGAACUUCCUCUGGGUCUCCCACGCAGAUUUAGGGCCCCAAGUACUUGGGCCAUCUUCCACCGCUUUCCCAGAGCAGAAGCAGAGAGCUGGAUCGGAAGAGGAGCAGCUGGGACUAGAACUGGCGCCCACAGGGGAUGCCAGCGCCACAGACGGAGGCUCAGCCCACUGCAGGGUCACAGCGCCGGCCCCUCUGGCCCCCAUCUGGCCAAACUCCAGGGCCAUCCACACCCCUCACCUGCCGCUCACCAUACAGGGUGAGUGGCCUGUGGUGACACCCACUGCCCAGCCUGCUGCUGUCUGGGCAGCUGUCUCCAGUCCGCAGCUCUUCCAGCUGCUGCCCCUUCCUCACAUAGAAACAGAAGCCACCAGGUGGGAGACCCCCAGCCGGCAUCCCCCCCACCACGUACCCACAGAGCCUCUGCCUGCUGCUGGCCGGCCAUGCCCUCACCACACCCUCUCUUCCUCCUUCUGGCUCCAGCUUCAUCUCGGCUCUCAAAACCUCCCUUGGCGGUCGCCACGCUCGCUGUCUGCUGCACUCCCACUUCUCUAAAGCUCUCCCCACUGCCGUCAGCACACCCAGCCCUCCCGCAGCCCGGGCCUGGCUGGCCUGCCUUUCACCCGUCUCCGCCGUGGACACUGCUCCAGGGCAGCCGCCCCAUCGCGCCCCAGGGGCAGCUCCUCAACUGAGGAAGAACGGAGGCCCAGGGCCUCCCCUUGAAGAGUGUGGGGACACUUCUGUGGGCUCGCCAGUGGGAGAGGCAGCCAGGCUGAUGCCUGAGGGUCAGAGGACCCCCCCAGCGCCGUCAACCGUGGGCUCUGGGCAAUGGGACCACGGUCUGAUGGAGGUAGUGAUUGUUCAGUCGUCCCAGGGUCUGAAAGAAAGAAGGCAGUGGGCUUCUGGCCCGCCCACCCCCAGACCUACCACCACCUGUCCCAGAUUAAAACGUCCCUACUGGCAAGGUGGACAAACCAUGUUUGUGUCUGGAACGAUGGUGCUUCCACAGUGUGGAAGAUGACACUGCAGGACGAGUG
Molecule: long non-coding RNA, 2075 nt
Filed under: Oryctolagus cuniculus (rabbit)
Lineage: Eukaryota; Metazoa; Chordata; Mammalia; Lagomorpha; Leporidae
Description: lncRNA (ENSOCUG00000035628.1)
Source: RNAcentral